AUAUCAAUAAGCGGAGGAAAAGAAACCAACAGGGAUUGCCCCAGUAACGGCGAGUGAAGCGGCAACAGCUCAAAUUUGAAAUCUGGCCCCUUCGGGGUCCGAGUUGUAAUUUGCAGAGGAUGCUUCGGCCUAGGCCCCGGGAUAGGUCCCCUGGAACGGGGCGCCACAGAGGGUGAGAGCCCCGUACUCGCCCGGUCGGCCUUUGCCGCGUGAAGCUCCUUCGAAGAGUCGAGUUGUUUGGGAAUGCAGCUCUAAACGGGAGGUAAAUUCCUUCUAAAGCUAAAUACCGGCCAGAGACCGAUAGCGCACAAGUAGAGUGAUCGAAAGAUGAAAAGCACUUUGGAAAGAGAGUUAAAAAGCACGUGAAAUUGUUGAAAGGGAAGCUCUUGCUGCCAGACUUGCCCCGGUUGUUCAGCCGCCCUACUGGGCGGUGCACUCUCCCGGCGGCAGGCCAGCGUCAGUUCGGGCGGCCGGAUAAAGGCCCCGGGAAUGUAGCCCCCCCGCGGGGGGGUGUUAUAGCCCGAGGCGCAAUGCGGCCAGCCCGGUCUGAGGAACGCGUUCGCGAGGACGCUGGCGUAAUGGCCGCAAGCGACCCGUCUUGAAACACGGACCAAGGAGUCUAACAUCUGUGCGAGUGUUUGGGCGUCAAACCCAUGCGCGCAAUUAAAGUGAACGGAGGUUGGAACCCCCCCGAGGGGCGCACAAUCGACCGAUCCUGAUGUCUUCGGAUGGAUUUGAGUAGGAGCAUAGCUGUUAGGACCCGAAAGAUGGUGAACUAUACCUGGACAGGGCGAAGCCAGAGGAAACUCUGGUGGAGGCUCGCAGCGGUUCUGACGUGCAAAUCGAUCGUCAAAUCUUGGUAUAGGGGCGAAAGACUAAUCGAACCAU
Molecule: ribosomal RNA, 888 nt
Filed under: Schizopelte californica
Lineage: Eukaryota; Fungi; Ascomycota; Arthoniomycetes; Arthoniales; Opegraphaceae
Description: LSU rRNA
Rfam family: Eukaryotic large subunit ribosomal RNA
Source: RNAcentral